AAUAAACGCUGGCGGCGUGCCUAACACAUGCAAGUCGAGCGAGAAAGCUCCUUCGGGAGUUAGUAAAGCGGCGAACGGGUGAGCAACACGUGAGAAUCUACCCUUUAGUGAAGAAUACCCUCGAGAAAUCGAGGCUAAUACUGCAUACGUCCCUUCGGGGAGAAAGAUGGCCUCUUUGCUAUCGCUAAAGGAUGAGCUUGCGUACUAUUAGCUAGUUGGCGGGGUAAAGGCCCACCAAGGCAAUGAUGGUUAACCGGCCUGAGAGGGUGUACGGUCACACUGGAACUUAGACACGGUCCAGACUCCUACGGGAGGCAGCAGUGAGGAAUCUUGCGCAAUGGGCGAAAGCCUGACGCAGCGACGCCGCGUGGAGGAUGACGGUUUUCGGAUUGUAAACUCCUGUUAAGCGGGAAGAAAGCCUUGUUUCUAAUACAAGCAAGGUAUGACGGUACCGCUAGAGAAAGCACCGGCUAACUCCCGUGCCAGCAGCCGCGGUAAAGUGACGCUC
This 508-nucleotide ribosomal RNA is filed under the name uncultured bacterium. Its description in RNAcentral is "bacterial SSU rRNA". It matches the Rfam family "Bacterial small subunit ribosomal RNA", at positions 29 to 534 of the family's 1533-position model. The record is from RNAcentral.